This 1071-nucleotide ribosomal RNA is filed under the name Marmota monax (woodchuck). Its description in RNAcentral is "Bacterial small subunit ribosomal RNA". The stretch from base 585 to 1058 matches the Rfam family "Microsporidia small subunit ribosomal RNA", at positions 752 to 1303 of the family's 1311-position model. Lineage: Eukaryota; Metazoa; Chordata; Mammalia; Rodentia; Sciuridae. The record is from Rfam by way of RNAcentral.
AAACACAUAGGUUUGGUCCUGGCCUUUUCAUUAGCUUCUAGCUAACUUAUACAUGCAAGCAUCCCCGUCCCAGUGAGAAUACCCUCUAUAUCUACUAAUUGAUCAAAAGGUGCAGGCAUCAAGUUCACUAUUCCUGGUAGCUCAUAACGCCUUGCUCCACCACACCCCCACGGGAGACAGCAGUAAUUAAAAUUAAGCCUAUAAACGAAAGUUUGACUAAGUUAAGCUAAAUAAAGAGUUGGUAAAUUUCGUGCCAGCCACCGCGGUCAUACGAUUAACUCUAGUUAAUGAAACACGGCGUAAAGCGUGAUUAAGAGACUAAUCAGAUAAGAUUAAAAUAAUAUUAAACUGUAAAAAGUCUUGAUAAUUAUGAAAAUCAAAUACGAAAGUAAUCUUAAAUUUUCUGAAUUCACGAUAGCUAAGAUCAGGGCACACAUCUGUAAUCACAGCAGCUUGGGAGGUUGAGGUAGGAGAAUGGAAGGUUCAAAGUCAGCCUCAGCAACUUGGUGAAGCACUGAGCAAUUUAGUGAGAACUUGUCUCAAAAUAAAAAAUAAAAGGGCUGGGGAUAUGGCUCAGUAGGUAAGUGCCCUGGNCUAGCAAUAGCCUGAAACUCAAAGGACUUGGCGGUGCUUUACAUCCCUCUAGAGGAGCCUGUUCUAUAAUCGAUAAACCCCGAUACACCUCACCACCUUUAGCAUAUAUCAGCCUAUAUACCGCCAUCUGCAGCAAACCCUAAAAAGGCCCUACAGUAAGCAAGAAAAUUUUACAUUAGUACGUUAGGUCAAGGUGUAGCCUAUAAGGUGGGAAGAAAUGGGCUACAUUUUCUACCUUUCUAGAAUAAACCCCCACGAUAGCUUUUAUGAAACUCAGAGCAUAAGGCGGAUUUAGUAGUAAGUUAAGAAUAGAGAGCUUAACUAAAUGGGGCAAUAAAGCACGCACACACCACCCGUCACCCUCUUCAAAUAUACUUCAAUACAAUUCUAUUAAUAAUUUAUUUUAUCAAAUAUAUAAGAAGAGACAAGUCAUAACAAGGUAAACAUACUGGAAAGUGUGUUUGGAAUAACCAAAAU